CAAGGAACUAAGGGUUUAUGGGGGAUACCUUGGCAUUCAGAAGCGAAGAAGGACGUGGUUACCGACGAUACGCUUCGGGGAGCUGGAAACAAGCUACGAUCCGGAGGUCUCCGAAUGAGGAAACUUUAAUCAAUAACUACUUAUUGAAUUCAUAGAUAAGAAAGAGCGAACCUAGAGAACUGAAACAUCUUAGUAUCUAGAGGAAAAGAAAGUAAAAACGAUUCCCUGAGUAGCGGCGAGCGAAACGGGAACAGCCUAAACUUAAUUCAAAUUAAGGGUAGUGGGACAAUCAAUAACGAUUAAAUGUGACAAUUAGGAGAACAAGUUUGGAAUACUUGGCCAUAGAGAGUGAUAGUCUCGUAUCCGAAAAUUGAAACAAUCCGAUUGGAUCCCAAGUAGCAUGGAGCACGUGUAAUUCCGUGUGAAUCUGCGAGGACCACCUCGUAAGGCUAAAUAUUCCUGAAUGACCGAUAGUGAAAUAGUACCGUGAGGGAAAGGUGAAAAGAACCCCGGGAGGGGAGUGAAAAGAACAUGAAACCAUAAACUUACAAGCAGUAGGAGGACGACUAAAACGUUUGACUGCGUGCCUGUUGAAGAAUGAGCCGGCGACUUAUAGUUAGUGGCAGGUUAAAGUAGAGAAUACUGAAGCCAUAGUGAAAGCGAGCCUGAAUAGGGCGUUUGUCACUAAUUAUAGACCCGAACCCGGAUGAUCUAACCAUGGCCAGGUUGAAGCUUAGGUAAUACUAAGUGGAGGACCGAACCGACUGAUGUUGAAAAAUCAGCGGAUGAGUUGUGGUUAGGGGUGAAAUGCCAAUCGAAUUCGGAGCUAGCUGGUUCUCCCCGAAAUGCGUUUUGGCGCAGCGGUAAAUGUUAUAAUUUAGGGGUAAAGCACUGUUACGUAUGCGGGCUGGUAAUUCGGUACCAAAUCGUUGCAAACUAAGAAUACUAAAUG
This 952-nucleotide ribosomal RNA is filed under the name Extubocellulus spinifer. RNAcentral's name for it is "partial Bacterial large subunit ribosomal RNA". It matches the Rfam family "Bacterial large subunit ribosomal RNA", at positions 1 to 969 of the family's 2925-position model. The record is from RNAcentral. Lineage: Eukaryota; Bacillariophyta; Thalassiosirophyceae; Cymatosirales; Cymatosiraceae.